RNAcentral lists this transfer RNA (74 nucleotides) under Chlorella sorokiniana. It matches the Rfam family "tRNA". From Rfam's summary of the family: Transfer RNA (tRNA) molecules are approximately 80 nucleotides in length. Their secondary structure includes four short double-helical elements and three loops (D, anti-codon, and T loops). Further hydrogen bonds mediate the characteristic L-shaped molecular structure. tRNAs have two regions of fundamental functional importance: the anti-codon, which is responsible for specific mRNA codon recognition, and the 3' end, to which the tRNAs corresponding amino acid is attached (by aminoacyl-tRNA synthetases). tRNAs cope with the degeneracy of the genetic code in two manners: having more than one tRNA (with a specific anti-codon) for a particular amino acid; and 'wobble' base-pairing, i.e. permitting non-standard base-pairing at the 3rd anti-codon position. The record is from Rfam by way of RNAcentral. Lineage: Eukaryota; Viridiplantae; Chlorophyta; Trebouxiophyceae; Chlorellales; Chlorellaceae.
CAGGGUGUAGCGCAGUCUGGUAGCGCGCUUGCUUUGGGAGCAAGAUGUCGUAGGUUCGAAUCCUAUCACCCUGA